This 451-nucleotide ribosomal RNA is filed under the name uncultured bacterium. RNAcentral describes it as "bacterial SSU rRNA". It matches the Rfam family "Bacterial small subunit ribosomal RNA", at positions 340 to 782 of the family's 1533-position model. The record is from RNAcentral.
UACGGGAGGCAGCAGUGGGGAAUAUUGCACAAUGGGCGCAAGCCUGAUGCAGCCAUGCCGCGUGUAUGAAGAAGGCCUUCGGGUUGUAAAGUACUUUCAGUCGUGAGGAAGGUGUUAAGGUUAAUAACCUUAGCAAUUGACGUUAGCGACAGAAGAAGCACCGGCUAACUCCGUGCCAGCAGCCGCGGUAAUACGGAGGGUGCGAGCGUUAAUCGGAAUUACUGGGCGUAAAGGGCACGCAGGCGGUUAAUUAAGUUGGAUGUGAAAUCCCCGGGCUUAACCUGGGAAUGGCAUUCAAGACUGGUUAGCUAGAGUCUUGUAGAGGGGGUAGAAUUCCAUGUGUAGCGGUGAAAUGCGUAGAGAUGUGGAGGAAUACCGGUGGCGAAGGCGGCCCCUGGGACAAAGACUGACGCUCAUGUGCGAAAGCGUGGGGAGCAAACGAGGAUUUAGA